GACGAACGCUGGCGGCGUGCUUAACACAUGCAAGUCGAACGGAAAGGCCCUGCUUGCAGGGUGCUCGAGUGGCGAACGGGUGAGUAACACGUGGGUGAUCUGCCCCUUACUUUGGGAUAAGCCUGGGAAACUGGGUCUAAUACUGGAUAGGACCAUGCUGUAGGGGGUGUGGGGGAAAGAUUUUUUCGGUUAGGGAUGAGCCUGCGGCCUAUCAGCUUGUUGGUGGGGUAAUGGCCUACCAAGGCGUCGACGGGUAGCCGGCCGGAGCGGGUGGACGGCCACAUUGUGACUGCGACACGGCCCAGACUCCUACGGGAGGCAGCAGUGGGGAAUAUUGCCCUAUGGGCGCAAGCCCGAUGCAGCGACGCCGGGUGGGGGAUGGCGGACUUCGGGUUGUAAGCACCUUUCAGCCAUGACGAAGCCUCUUUUGGGGUGACGGUAGUGGUAGAAGAAGCACCGGCUAACUACGUG
This 471-nucleotide ribosomal RNA is filed under the name uncultured bacterium. Its description in RNAcentral is "partial 16S ribosomal RNA". It matches the Rfam family "Bacterial small subunit ribosomal RNA", at positions 28 to 507 of the family's 1533-position model. The record is from RNAcentral.